This 17973-nucleotide long non-coding RNA is filed under the name Brachypodium distachyon (stiff brome). RNAcentral describes it as "long non-coding RNA (BDIS_LNC002041)". The record is from RNAcentral. Lineage: Eukaryota; Viridiplantae; Streptophyta; Magnoliopsida; Poales; Poaceae.
CCGCCGCUCCCGUAGGUCACUGACGCCCCGCCCAAUCCAGCCGCCUCUCACCAAGCUCGCCUAGCCGCACCCCAAGGUCGCCGCAGCCGCGUCCCAUCAUUCGGGCGCCGCUUCCCAUUGACCCGCCGUCACGCAUCCCAUCUGCCAUUCGCCGCCGCUCCCUGGAGGAAGCCCUAGCUCAGAUCCGACGGGCAUCUACCACCGGCACUCUCGAGGUAAGCCUUCUCGCCCAGCCCGCUGGGCAUUGGAUCCCUAUCAACCCCUGAUUUUGCCUUUUAGGUAUCCAUUUUCCCCAAUUCUGAAAUUGCGCAUGAACCCAUCCAUCGGCCUGAAAACCAAAUCGACCUUGAUUUACCUUGCAGAAGGAUGGGGCGUAGUGGUUUUAGGGAUAACGGGCACGCUUCAAUGAUGUCUUAGCUCCGGGGUUCGGAUCGUACCACGCCAAAAUGAGCGGCUUUCGGGUCGUAGGGGCCGGACUUGGAGAGAGCAUUCCGCGUUUCCAUCCAGUUGUCACACGUCUCAAUUCUCGCGAAGACAUGGAUGAACUUGAAGUCGACAUCGUCGUUGUCCUCUCGGCAGGUGGUGAACAUGGCGACCAUUUACAAGACCCCAGGCGGAAAAUAUAAAAUCGGCGACACAAAAGUUGAAAAAGACGCCGGCUUACCUGAUUGGGGGCGCUGUUGCCGCUUUGGGGUCGCCGGCGCACCUCUUCUUGAAUGCCAUGCCAUUAGUUGCAAGCUUGUUGGAUCAUGCCCCAUCGGUGCGACAUGCCGGACUCGUUGCGACAGUGGGUCAACAUCGCGAACUCCUCCCGACCGACGAUCCGACGCUCAUCAUAUGCCGCCUUCACCCGCUUCCAAUAGGUGUCGGCAUUUUGAUUCGCGACGGUGAAGGGAUCCAUGCUCACGACCUUCCGAGCUUUGGUGAGGCACUCGACUUCAUUGGGGGUCCAUUUGGGGCCUUGGCCUCCACCGCCGGCCUUCUUCUUCUCGGUCGCCGACUUCUUCUUCCCCCUCGGCUCAGCGACGGUGGGCUCCUCUGUCCCGUCGGCCCAUUCUUCUCGCUCUUCGGCGUCCUUGCCAGCGUAAGCCUCUUCUUCUUGGGUGUAGGUGUAGUGGGCGUGCUGGGAGCCGCCGCUGAUCAUGUCGGCCAUGAUGGACUCGCCUUGCGACAUUCCAUCGAAAGGGUUGGGCGCGGCCUGGCUGCAGCCGGCGGGGAACUGCUGGAAGGAGGCGGACGGCGAAGAACCGCCGUCACUACUACAAAAUGCAACAUAAGUGACGGGUCAUCGGUGACGGGCCUUUCCUGCCGGGUGUGCCACGCCCGUCACUGAUGAAGCCUAGAAAGCCCGCCACUAACGGCCAAUAUGAAAAAUCACAAAAACACACAUUCGUGGCGGGCUUUACAUUUAGGGCCACCACUGAUGACCCCUGGCAUCCUUUGAAGAUUGAAAAAAUCAUAACCAAUUCAUAAAAAAUCAGAAAAAUGCGAUUCUUUUUGAUGAAGUCUUAUUUUUUCUUGCUUAACAUAGUGGAAUAAUAAUAUCACAUGGUAACAUUUGAAAAAUGACAUACAUAGCACAAUCUUGUUAUUUCCCAUAGUUGAACUUUAGGUUUUAAGCCAAAUGACAAAAGUUUGUCCAUUUCGAUGCCACAAUUCAUGAUAAUGUAUCCAUUUUUUGCACAAAUGUGCAUCUUGUUAUGACAAACAAUAUUUCCAAAGAAGUUUACAAUUUUUUGGUAAAAAAAACAAUUUUCCAUUUUCCAAAUGCAAAAAAUGGGAUAUUUUGUGAAGCAAGUGCUAUUAAUAUGGUUCAAAAUGCCACUUAUCCAAUUUUCAAACAAACAAGAACUUGUUUCAUUGCUAUUCUAUAGUUUUUGAAUUUUCUAACUUUCUAGAUACUUUAAGUUGUGAAAGAAUAAAUGAUAAAGACAAAAAAUGGAAAAUGUAUUGUCCCAGUCACUAGUGGCGGUCAGGCUAUUUUCGGCCGACACUUAAACGAAACAGAAACGUUGUGCUGCAUUUUGAUUGGCUGGAUGGGUGGAGGUGCGGAUCGGUGAGGUGGCGCAUCCCAAUCCACUCCUUCCUGGCUUCCUCCCUUAUCUCUCCCACCCACACACCCAUCUCCCCAUUCCUCUCUUAUCUCUCUGUCUCCCUCCCUCUUUCAUCUGUUCUCUCGUAACCCUCCCUCCCACGAUCCUAGCAACGGCCACCGCCACCAUGUUCGAGGGAAAGGGCGCCGCCUCCGUUCCCGGUCGCCACCCGCCGCACGUGAGGGCCCCAUGCCGAGCGCCCUCUCUCUGCUCUCCCUUCGAAGCCCGCCGCCACCGACAUGGAAGCCCGCCCCGGCUCCGGCUCCUCCGGAUCCGGCCGGCCCGAACCCUCCGCCGCCAGAUCCGGCCGACCCGGGCCCUACGCCGCUGGUAUGUUUCUCUCCUUCUCUCUCUCUCUCUCUCUCUCUCUCUCUCUCUCUCGUGCAGGGCAGCAGAUCAUCACCGCCGUGGAGACAAGGCUGGCGCUGUCACCGACUUCCACGUGACGGCAGUACGGCUACGGCCAACCGGAACGCGCAUUUUGCGGUUUGUUGGAUUAAAUUGUCGAUUUAUGAUUUGUUCAUCAUUUGUUGGAUUAAAUUGUCGAUUCGUGGAUUAAUUCAUCAAUUUGUCGGAUUAAAUUGUCGAUUUGUGAUUUCUUUAUCCAUCGUGUGCAGGUUGUGCCCCGCUUUUUUUUUAAAUUUCAAAAACGACAUCAGUUUCGGGCUUUACAGCGCCUGUUACUGAUGGCACAUAGCAUCAAUAACGGGCCAACCGCCCGUCACUAAUGUGCCCCAUAUCACUGGCAGUCAGUUAGUGUCGGACGGUUUGCCCUAGCGUUUUUUGACCGUUACUAAUGGCCAUUUUUGUAGUAGUGCGUAGGAAAGAGGCCCACACCGUAGAGGAGGUGAGGCGAAGGCGUUGGGGUUGAAUCCGCCGAGGGGAUCAGCGGCGAAGGUGUUGGGGUUGAAGCCGCCGAGGGGAUCGGUGUCGGGGGUAGUCCGGCGAGAACCGCGAGAGGGACGGCGUGGCAUUUCCAUGGUUUUCAUGGGGCAUAUAGGCGACACCGGUGAAAUGUCUGACGGCGACGGUGACAUCGAAGAACUCCCUUGGUUGUCGUUGCUCAAGUACUGGCCAGAGGGUGGCCGCGGUGCCGUCAUGCCAGCCAUGGUCGCGGCCAUCUGCUGGGCCAGAACGACGUUUCUUUCCUUGGCCUUCUUCUCCCAACCUCGGCCGGCGGCGUUCUCGACGAGGCGACGAGUCCAAUCCGCCGCUCAAUCAGCGUUGCUCAUCCUAGGCGGACGCUCUCUCUCUCCCUCGGUUUCUUUGCCGCUCCGUCACUACAACAAUAAACCCACGUAGAGACGCUCAAUUUAUGGGCUAGAAACACUUUAUAUCAUCUCUACACAAUUGUAGACUCGCUUUGUAAAGCGUCUUAGGAGCGUCUCCUCCAGCACCAUGUCUAAAAAUGUAGAGACGUACGACAAGCAUGUCUAGCUAAAUAUGAGACGUUCAUAAAGCAUGUCUAUGAGAAUAGAGACGCUUUGGCAAAUGCCCAUGAAAUUCUCGUCCCAACCGUGAUUGAGUCGUUUUAGUGCGUCCUAAAAAGAACUGUGACGCUUUAUUUUGCUACGGUAAAUUAUUAUUGUUUCUAUCAAUAAAAUAAAAUAUUACCAUUUUCAUUUCAAGAGAAUCUUAAUUUUAACUAUGACAAAGCACAAUACAGUAGAAAAAUACAAUACAUUGUUGGAAAAUAAUAACUUCAUUUCUGAAGAUCAAAUCAAAUUUCUGAUUUACAACUGAACUGUACACUCCAAAAAUUUACUCUUCUCUAGAAAAAUUACACUUGAUUCAUCAAAAUGAUGAAAUUACAUUUAUUUUUUCAUCUAACUAUGAUGUAAUCUAUCUCUUCUUCAUGGAAAUAUUGUACAUGAGCUCCUUUUCCUCACCAUCCUGUUGCAAUUUUUCCAUGCGCAUGCACGCCUUCUUUUGUGUUGCUUAAAAAAACUUGGCAGAUACCCUGCAAGGAAAGCCAACCAAUUUAGAUAAAUAAAUUGAUAUGGAGAACAAAUUCUCCUACGAAGUCUAACAUUUACACAUGCAAGACACUAGGAGCGAAAAAAAAACAUAUAACUGAAGGUUCAUAAUAGUUCAGAACCGAACCGUGAGUCCACCAAACAGGCCCUCAUUAUUAUGCUUUGCAAAAUCCUCAGAAAAGAAACUGUGAUGUGAGAAAGCCAAUGAAAGAUAAAUGAAUCCUAGACCAGUUAUUGAAGGGUCUUUAUUUACCUUGAGUAAUUGAUCCUAGACCGGUUAAAGAACAGGGACUCAUGCUCAAUUCAGCAUCCUGUAACCACUGGUGCUGCAACCUUGUUGCUAACCAUCAGUGCUUGGUUAUCACAAACAGUGUACGGGCAUAAGCAAUUCUAGAAGUUAGUAUUAUAGUAGACAAAGGUCAAAUAAUCUCACUGAUGCAGUGAAAAAAGUGUCACAGUCUUAAGUCUUAUAUUCUUUUCCAUAGAAGAUUGCAUAUCUCAGGCCAUGUUUUGUGAUGUUGCUUAACUGAAGGUUGCCAUAAUUCUGCAAAGAGCAAUAAGACCAUCCAGUGCUAUCAGGACAGGGCUUUGCAAAAUAGUUCCAUUAGUACUAAACAUACAUUGCUAAAGUGCGUGCAUACCUCUGUUGUUCUCAAUCAGCCGGCUGCCUGUAACUUUGAGAGUUAACAUUCAAUGUGCCCACCUCCUACAUGAAUCAGUCCUCGGAAAUUGCCGAUAUACCCAACCAUUACCAUCUGCUCCAGAUCCUAACUGAAUGACUGAGGAAAAACAACCUAAAUCAAUAAUACAAAAUAACAAGGCCAAAUUAUUGCUAAUCGACUGUGGUUUCCUCUGCAAAUGGAAACUAUCACUUGAUCUUUCUGGUUCGAGCAGACACCACAACAAUUCUAUAUAGAGUGCCAUGAUAAAAGCAAAUAAUACCAUAUCCAUACCAUACAAGGGAAGAGAAGGGAGAGGAAAACCUUGAAGGUGUUGCCUACCUUCGUGGAUUGGAAAACAGAGCAAGGAAAAGGGAGAAGGAUGCUAGCGGUGGAUACAUACCUAAGGCACGGUCCGGUAUAGUCUCAACGUCAUCCGCCGCCGCGGGUCUCCGGACGAAGACCUAGCACUGCUGGAUGAGAGGACGCCUGGAGGGGAGGAAGAUGAGAUGGAAACCAGCCGGAUCUCCGUCCUAGGGCGGCGCCGUUGUGGGGAACGGCCGGAUCUCGUGGCGCCGUGGUGGGGAACGCUCCCGCCCCUCCCACGAGUUGGGUGCGGCCUGGGGCGUCAGCUAAAAUAUUAUGCCGCACCGGCUAAGUUUUAGAAAUGGGGUCUGGGCUGGGUGGGCUCUUAAGGCCUUACGACUAUCCUACUUAGGACUUAUCCAUUGAGAUUCCAAGAGCAGCAGGUCGUCCGGUGGCCUUGGCAAAUGCGCAAGGCAGGCCAACUGCCGUGCAUUGUCCAAUAGCCAUGUUCGCCGAGAAACCAAUCCAAACCCCGCUAAAUUUCAUAAAACCACACAUUUUGGUGCAUUUUGGUGCAGUCUUUUGAAAAAUCACACUUUUCCUGUCACAAUGUAACAACAAGCCCGAAAUACCGUGUUUAAGCGAGUUGAUAGAUUUCCUUAUAGGUCGGGCCCACCUGUCUGGUUGUUGUUACAUUGUCAACUCUAAGAAAAAGCGUCAACUCGCCUAAACACAUCAUUUCGGAUUUGUUAUUACAUUGUAACUUGAAAAGUUUGGUUUUUCGAACAAAUUAACAAAAGUGGUGACUGUGUGAGAAGGCGGCCCAAAAUGUGUGGUUUUUUAAAAUUUACUUUUUUUUUUAUCCCGUCACCCUCCCGUUUGACACAAUAUAUAUACUCGGAAUCUUUCUUAUAGUUUUCGGUAAAAAAAAACUGAUGAGUUAGACAGCUGCUUAUAGAGUUUAGACGGGUUCAACUGAGCCACGCAGGCUAGUACUGUUCAUCGCUAGCUGGGAAGAGGAAAUCCCGCCGCCCAUCCGUUGGAUAUUCGCCAUUAGCCAUCGGCCGUUUCUUCAGGUCUGGCUGUGCUUGAGAAAAAUCGUAGAGCUAGCCGGGGCUGGGGGUAGCAGGAGAGCUAGACGGCAGCGACGAGGUGCUGCUGUAGCUCCAUGGCUCGCUGUCGACUUAUGGGCCGGUGUAUGGGCCGGUGCCCGGCCGGCGCCGUGCGCGCCAUACCAAGCUAGGAGCAGGAGGUAUGUAUAAGACCACCGUACCAUCGACGGCUCUCAGCAGCUGUGGGAUCUAUUCAUCUAUAGCGUCAGGGCAUUCGGUUUUUAUGCUCUCAGUCGGCCGUUGAUGCUGACUUCGCGGACAGGGCGACAAGCUCAGCCAUAUGGUAUUCUUUUUUUUCUUUUUCUUUUUCUUUUUCUUUUUCUUUUUUGCGAGACAGCCAUAUGGUAUUCAAAGGUUGGAAAAUGGAGACGGGUUCGACGCUUUAAACUGGAAACAGAUCCGUGAUGUAUGCAAACCGGUGUGAUGUAUGUAAACCGGUGGAGCGCGCAGUUUAAUUAACCCGGGUUGGCGGCUUGACGGCCGGUUAGUUUGGUUGGACCUAGCAGGUGUACUGAACGGACCUAGCAACUAAUAAGGGCUCGUUCGGUUUGUAGGAAAUCUAGAGAAUGUUUACAUGAUUUCAAUUCUUAGGAAUUUUUCCUAUGUGUAGCAUUUGUUUCAUAGAAAUAUAAUUGAGAUCAUAGAUUUCUAAGGGUUGAGUCCAAAUUGAUCUAAUUACAAAAGAUUCUACACAUUAUGUGAGACCUCACGGGAAAUUUCUAAGGAUUGAGAUGUCCAUGACAUCUCAAUCCUCUACUUUCCCCCUAUUUCUAUGAUUUCAAAAUCUUGUAAACCGAAAUAAGCCCUAAGCAUGCGUUUGCCACUCCUGAUCCUUUCUUUAAUAUUAAAUCAUCUUUAAUUUCUUGGCCUAAACAAUCUGGUAUACAACAUAUCAGUGAAUGAAAAAUCAUAAAGAGCUGGUUUAUUGUUUGCCCCAUACGUAGUACGUACACAUGCACGUACGUAUGUAUGUCUCCAGGGAAGAAACAGAUCAACAAAGUAUAUAAUUAUACCUUUUCCUUAAUUAAGUAACCGUGAGAUUGAUGCAGAGGCUGGAUAUACCCCUUUUCGAAAAAACAAAUAAUUAAGUAACCAUGCAUGAGAUCCCUGAACUUGUUUAGGAUGUGAGAACAUAAAUCACAACACCCCUGCUCAUACAUCUAGGCUCCUAUAGGCCUUGGAGGUGGAAGUGAAAUAUUUGCCAAGCUUGCCUUUCUCUCCGUAUUAAUGCGCGCAUUCCCUACCUAUGUGCUGUUCUAUAUAUAUUAUAUGCAUAUGUCGUAUGCACAUAUUAAGAGUAAGAUUAAUAGCUAUAGCCUGCUGCUGGCUGUAAGUUUUGCCAUGUCAUCUUUAAGUAGUAUAAGAGCAAGAUUAAUAGUUUAGCCUGCUGCCGGCUAUAAACUUUUGCCAUGUCAUUUUUAGCUAACAUAUAGCUAGCAUGUAUAAUAAGGUGGCUACAAGAAUGUACUACUUUGUUAUGAGGAGACCCACAUUAUAGUCUCAUAGAGUGCCUAAGAGCACGUGUUGCAGCUUGCUAUUAGAUAGUAGCCCACUUCUCUUCUCUCUCCUUUUCUCUUUUCUCCAACUAAGCAAAGAUACAAUAUUUAAAUCUUUAGAGCCUGCUUACGUCACAUUAUUAUUCUUGCUCUAAUAGCUAGCAUGUAUAAUAAGUUGGUUAUAAGAAAUACUAAUUAAUUAAUAGCUGGCCCACAUUACGGUCUCACAGGGUGCCUAGGAGCACGUAUUGCAGCUGGCUAAUAGCAGCCCACUUCUCUUCUCUCUCCUUUUCUCUUUACUCCAACUAAGCACCAAUAUAAUAUUUAAAUUGUUGUAACCAGCUUAUAACCCACUAUUAUUCUUGGUCCAAGUGAUCAACCGAAGGAAGGCGUACAUAAAUUCCCCAUGCAGCAUGCAGAGAAUGUCAAUUAAGACAAAUUAACUGUAACUUGUUCACGCGCUCUUCUUCCACAAUUCCUGCAAAUAUAUAUGUAACCAAUUGAGAAAGAAGUUCAACCGAGAUGGUGCCUAGAUAGCUAGUCUCCAUGCUCUUUGCUCUUCAUCCAAGACCUGCAAUUACAUGCGAAGAUGAAUGGUCAUUAAUUAAUACUAAAGUGCCGUCUUAAAGAACAUGCCUAUGUCUAGCUUUACAUCAGCUGUGCUUCGGUAGAUUAAAUUUCACAUGGUCGAUCCGAGAUUAUAGUUCCUGUCAACUCAGCUUCCUGCCAUAUGAUUGGUCGUCGGCGAAGUGUGUGGCUAGCUUUGCCACAUGCACGCAACUCUUACAUAGUACACCUCUUUGUCGCGAUUUAAUGACAUUGAAAUAUUACUGUAUAUGCAUAAUAACCACUGCUACCAUGCGAUGAUGUCACAUCUCACUAGCUUCCGUUUCUUCCCGUUGCUAUCACUUAGAUCUAUGGGCGCACUCGAUCGUUUAUUCUCUGUCUCUCUCCAUUUCCUGCAGGGGGAACAUGGAUGGUGUGCAUGGUCCUCCAUGGUCGCAACCAUGUAGGAGUACAUGACUACUACAUAUAUAGGGCCACGGAACUGCGUACAUUACAGAAUAAUUGACAGCUCAGAAAACAUUAAUAUAUUGAGUUAACUAAACUUCUCUAUCUUCACCACUAAUUAACAAACAAUAAAUAAAAUCUCUUAGCUAAAAAUUAAUGAAAACUAGUGUCACGAUAUAAUUUUCAUUUGCUUCCCUCAUUAUACAAACAGUAAUAGUAAAAGCUGAAAAUUGAAGGCGGUAAAACCAUGAAAAUAUCGUACGUGUGUAUCGUGUAUUUGAAAAGAAUGGCGCAUUAAAUAGUGAAUAAUUUAUUUUGUGGCAUUUCGUUCCUAUUAUUAAUUUCCUAUCCAGACUUAUUGUCUCCACCAAUUUUGUGUCUUUAUUAAAGAAAUAGUACUAACAACAAUAAUGUUGUUAUCGUUGUGUUCUUCUUGUUGUUGAAGUGCAAUAAUGAAGUGUGCAUUCAGAUUUUGCACCUGUGAAAAUGAUUUGUCCUGUAAACCAGAUAUGACUUUAUGAUGUUCCUUUUGUCUCUGGGAUUUUUUUUUUUGCGAUGUACAGAAUCCUAGGUAUAAAAUAAGGACCUGCAGAAACUCAUCCAAAAAUAUGAUUAUAUUUGGCAUGCAUAUUUGCAAAAAUGGGCAAGAUCGAUAUGAAGAAAUUUUCUUUUCUUGUACGGAACAACAUGGUAAUAUCAUUAGCUGAAUGCUUCCAUUUUUCCAUUCUGUUGGAGCCUUUAUGCGUAUGAGUUGUUAAAUACUCUUUUGAAAACAUAGAUAGUACAUAAUAUCACCCUCCAAAAUGCGAGCAAAUUAAGAUAUGGUGAAUGGUUUUGCAUCUCAAGAAUUCCGGAAAAUGUGAUUCAUGGUGUACAAAACAUAUACUACUUCAACCUAUAAACAUACACAAACAAAUAUACUAUAUGACAUUUGUGUCCUUGCUCUUUGGACGUACAGAUCGUAUAAGAGAUAUAAAUGAUUUUUUUUUUGUAUAAUACACAAAUGACCAUAUUGCCAGAUGCAUUUUUUGCACUUCCCAUUCUAUAGUACACUCUACACAAGGAUUUUGUCAACCUCGAGAUAUAAAUCCACCAUCCAGAACCAGACUAGGGUUUUGGGCAAAUGGUUCUAGCUACUUUAGAGUACAAUAAGGCAAUUUAUACAGUUCCAGGUUGGAGGUUGGUUUCAAGGUUUAGGGUGGACUUUUGUCCUAUUCUUUACCAUUUUAUUGCUCCUAUAAGUGUCAAAGCCAAGGACAUUGCCCGCUAGGUAUCUAGAUGAAGCUCACCCUAAUUUCAUCACGUUAGCUUCUUAGCACAAUAAAUUGUAACAAUCAGGAACUCUAUUAUUGUAAAUAUUGAUAGGCAUUCAUCUCAACGUGUAAUACUCUGGACAUCCAUACAUAUCGCAAGAUCUUGUCGCCCCAUCAUAAGGUUGUAUCCGUAUUUGUCUAUUUGUGAGUGUUUAUUAUUUCCUGUCUCAGCUACCACAAAGAAGAUCCUAGCCCAACCUAAUUAAUCACACGACCUGCAGAGGCCGGGGGAGUGUCCUCCUUUUCAAAAAAAAAACUUAAUCACACGACCUGUCCACCAUUACUUGUCAUCUCGAAAUGGGUUUGAUCUCUAAACAAACAUUUGCCUCUCUCAGGCCGAAGAAAAGGAUCGGAGUGGGAAACAAUUUUUUUGUUAAAAUUGUACAUUCAAUUCUUGAACUUGGGAACUCUUGGCUCCGGUAUGUCAUAUAUACCAUGAGAUUUUCAUCCACCAGUCAGUUCACACGAAAAUCUUAAUUAGGCUGGUGAGAGAAGGCGCAAUAUAUAUAUUCUGAUCGAUCAUACUUCAACAAGAAGAACCUAAUAUUAACUAAUCGUAUUGUAUUUUUAGAUAAUUUUGAGAGGAGUGUCAUGAUUUUAUGAUUUAUGUUUGAAGAGCAUAUAUAUCUUGUCUACUUAGGUUUUAUGUAAUGAAUUAAUCUUUUCAGAGCGUAUGGUUAUUUUUUUGCCAGGUAGUGAGAGUAUCAUAUUAAUUGCUUCACUCAGCAACUUUGAAGUUCAAGUGUGGAAUUUCCCAAACCUCUUAUGAUCCACAUAUGUUACUUGAACUACUAUGAGUACUCAACUAUUAUUUUUCUAGCGAGAUUUAACUUCAUUAUAAAAACAAUUCAUGAUAUACCAUAAAUUGACUCGUUUGCAUACAUCAUGCAAUGUCCUCACUUAUUCAUUGUGAAGGUCGUGACGAGCAGUCAAAAGUCAAAAAUAUUUUAAGAAUGCUAAACCUGGUAGUAGCCACUAAACACUCAUUUAAUUUUAAAUUUUGAAGCAAUCCCAGCUUUGUUUUGAGGCAAUCAAAAAUUUUCUUUUCAAUAUGCACUAUAUCUAUUGUAGAUGCAUCGCAUAGUUUGAAAUUUUGAGCAGUCACAACUUUGUUUUAUUUGGAGGCAAUCACAUUUUACUUUUCAAGGUAAAUUGUACAGAUACAUUUAUCAGGCAUGCAUUCAUAUAAUAACAAACAAAAUGUAAAGGAACUGAAGAAUAGAACUAUUUCGAAUUAUGGUUCACUGUAGGUGGGACCGAUAGUACCACUGUGAGAUUCAGUAACAUGGUCAAAAUUGAUCUCCCAGUGUUGCUCAAAUUUUCCCUCAAAAUUUUAGAUUUCCCUCAAAAAAAGUGUUGCUCAAAUACUGAGUCGAGUUAGUCAAAUCUUAGCUUUUUGAACAGAUUAAUUCUGUGAAGACAAUCAUUUGUAUUCCUAAACGUACAUAUACUCCGUAGAACUCUAUGAUGGAUUAUUUGUCUCAUGUACGUAUAUAUGCCUGCACAUAUGGGUGGCAUCUUUAACUAACAUAUCACUCUAUAUAUGUUUUUUAAUUAAAGGCCACAUGUUUAAUAUUUGUGUUUCACAAGACCAAGAAUAUCUGGCCAGGUACCACUAUCUUGCGACAACGUAACAAAAAGAUGAUGUUCACAUGUACUGUGUACUUAAGCAAACGACAAUAUAAGAUGAAUUUUGUUGCCUGUACAGCUAACAAAACGAAAACUAAGAUGUGGGUAACUAUAGACGACAGGUCUAAGGAGAGCCAGCUAAACUUAUUAGUUAUUACAGCAGGAACCAAUUAAAGGGCUGCUCUAAUGAUUAAAUUCCCGCAGCCCUGCAACAGUGCCUAUAUUAUAGAUUCAAGGAAAAAAUAUUAUAGAUAGUUGGAGGAGGAACAUGCAUGCAUGAAGCAUGAUAGAACUAGUGAAAGACCCAUACGCACUCUGUGCUGCCGCAGAUCGGCAGAUGAGCAGGGCGAUGCAUUUCUUGAUGAUAUACAGCUUUCCCUUCUGCUGCCUCACCGCGCUGCGCAGCCUCUCCAGCUUACCCUCCUUCGUGAUCUCCGCCAUGUCCUAAUAUAUGCAGCCAUGAGCCCAUGAGCUUUGUGCAGGACGAUGGACUAGCUAGCUAACUCUCAGAAAGAGGCGCAGAGCAGCCAUGAGGUAUCAUUGGAAAGAUGGACCUUGAUGCUAAUAUAUACUAGCUGGAGCCGACCUCCAGUUCAGAUGCUUUUUUUUUCGAAAAGGAGGAUGAUCCUCCAGCCUCUGCAUCAAAAUGAUGCACACAUCCAAAUUUUAUUGAUUUAUUAGCAAGCCUGACAAAAAAAAUACAUCGAUCUAACAAGCCAAAGUCACCAGACUAUGCCUACAAUCCUAAUGAAGGAGUGGCCAUUAUUAGGCCCGCAUGCCCUGACCGCAAACCACCACCUAACAUCAAAUCUGGAGGCCACGAAGGCACAACCAAAUCCUCGACGUGUGCCGUCUUCUCACACUCUAGAAUUAGCCGCCGCCGUCUUCCACCAACCCAUCUUCAGGACAAGGAUCGAAGCAUUACAACUUGCAAGGACUGGCAUCGACGACACAAAGCAGAGUCACCAACCAGCACGCACCCAGCAGUCGUCCUCACUCGCAGAUCUAGCAUUCUCCCGACGGCACCCCCAUGGGGGAGAACGACGUUGUCAACACCGUCACCGCCUAGUCAAAAGACUUUGGGUUUUCACCCGGGAAUCAAGAUCAGCGUGGUGUUGAAGUACCUCGACAACGCCUCAGAGAAGGGAGAGACAUCACGAACGUCGCCGCCGUCGUGGCCGGACUAGCCGCCCAAGGGUUUCCCCCGCACCAACACCCCUGACACCCAAUCUCCAAAGCCGCCGAAACAACGACCGCCAGAUCUGGCGAGGAAAAAGGAGUCCACCAUCGGCCUCACCUGGCCGCCGCUCAGGAAGACGCCUGCAGCCGCGAGGGCAAGGAGGCCGCCGCGACCUGGAGACCGCCCCAAGGCGGUACGGUCAGAGCCGCGGAAACAGCCGCCGCCUCGCCGACAUCGGUGCCUCGUCGCAGCUAGGCGCCAUCGGGCGUGCAGCCACAGAGCCACGGAGAUGGGGCGCGCCGCCACCAGGGGAGGGCACUGCCCCGUCGACCUCAGGGUCCUGCCGUCGCUGCCGAGGGCGGCCCCAGGCGAGGCCACCACCGCCAGGAAUCACCGUCGGAGGAGAGGCGCUCGCGCCGCCGCCAGGAGAAGAGCCGCCCGCGCCGUCGAUGCAGAUCGCGUCGAACCGAAGGAAGCCGAAGGAGCAGAGCCCCGCCGCCGCCGAUGCCGCACGGGCUUUGCCCGGCGGCGCGUGCCGGCGGCGGCGAGGAAGGGGAGGGUGGCGGCGAACUAGGGUUUCGAGUGUUGAGAGGCCGGGUCGCUUUCUCUUGGUGCCUACUCAAGAAAAAUGAUGGUCCAGUUCAGAUGGGCUGCAGUACAAUUGCAGAGAAUACAUGCAAUCCGACAGGUUGUGCUAGCUACAGGUUUUGGUGGCUAUCUUUUCGAUCGGAUGAUAUCAGGCAUGGGUCACUUAAGCUUGCUUUGGUGACUUUAAGCCCUUAACCAUCCCUAUAUUUUCUAGCUACCUAGGGUUUCUUAUUCGUUGAAGCUAUACACAAAACUGUACUUCAGUUCACAGAAGUUCCAGUAAACAAAAAAAAUCAAAUAAGAGCCAGGCCACCAGGAAAAUACUAACCUGAAAUCGGUCUAUGUGAUCCAAAAUCAGAAUGAAUGAAAACCAUUCCUAGAAAGAUUCGGAAACAUCAGAAACAAUUCCUGCAUGUACAUCAGUACACGUACCAUGUGAUGGAGCUUACAAGUAGUUCAUGUUAGAAAAAAUAUGACCAUUUGCGAGAUGUGGGACACUUGGCUACAUUUGCGCUUUUACCUUUUGUUGUGUCAUAGUAACCUACUCCCUCUGUCCCACAAUUCUUGUCUCAAAUUUGCCCAAAAAUAGAUGUAUCUAUUUCUCAAAAGUGUCUAGAUACAUGUAAGAUUUCGAAAAGAAUUAUGAAACAGAGAGUACUAUUUGUAAAACUCCUUACUUGGUUCCUACAUGGAGUAUAUGUACUCCCUCCUUCCAUUUUAAACGUUCUAGCUGGCUCUCUUCUGCGCGUGCGCCCAAUUAGCCUACAUGCACCCAAUUAUAGCGGCAGUAAUUAAUUUGAGGUCUUUUACGGUAGGGACGGAGGAAUAGCGGGCCCUUGAUUGAGCUAAUCCAAAGGUCCUUAUUUACCAAUACUAAGAGGUACGGGCAGUAGUAUUGCUCGGUCAAUGGGCAAAAAGGUCCCGUAUUCCUUUGUUUCCGUUUUUUAUUCUGCCGGGAGACAGUGACGCUCGAGAUCGAUCAGGCUGCACUGCAAGCUCAGGACAAACUCGUACUAGUAUCUUCGUCAGCUCCUUUGACGAUGCGCGCGGGCAGCUUACAGCUUACCACUCCUCCCUUGCCGCCGCCGCCGCCGCGCAGCAUAAGCAGAGGCAGCUUCUUCAGCAUGGCUUCUGCCCCGACGGCCUCGCCGCAUAUGAGCCUGUUACCCCACCGGCCACCGGCGACGCUUGCUCUGCUGCCUAGCUAGCUAGCUCACCGUUAGCUAGCUAGUUUAGCACCAUGAGAUUUUAAUAUGUAUAGUCGUACAUGAAGGUUCUUUAAUAUUGUUGCUGAUACGUUGGCCAUACUAAUUGCUUGGGCUAAGAAAGAUGGCCCACAUCUCGUUGAGGGAGGAGUCUUGAUUCUCCGGUACGCAAAUGCUACGAUUAUUUUCUUGGAACAUGACUUGGAGAAAGCCGUCAACGUGAAGUUAAUCCUCUGUAUUUUUGAACAGCUCUCAGGUCUAAAAAUUAAUUUCCACAAUAGUGAUUUUUUUUUGCUUUGGUAAGACUAAGGAUGUGGAGUCCAAUUACAAACGGCUUUUCGGGUGUGAAUCGGGAACACUGCCACUUCGCUAUCUCGGUAUUCCCAUCCAUCAUCGCAAAUUGCUUAAUAAAGAAUGUAAGUCGGUGGAGGAUUGAUUUGAGAAAAAGCUUGCGUGCUGGAAGGGUAAGUUGCUUUCAUACGGUGAUCGUCUUACUCUCAUUAAUUAUGUGCUUACCAGCAUGCCGAUGUUCAUGUUAUCAUUUUUGGAAAUUUCAGUUGGGGUCCGUAAAAGAUUAGAUUUCUACAGAUCUCGUUUUUUCUGGCAAUCUGAUGAGCAUAACCGCAAAUUCAGAUUGACCAAGUGGAAUAUAAUUUGUCGUCCAAAGGACCAAGGUGGGUUAGGCAUUGAGCUCCUGGAGGUCAAAAAUAAGUGCUUGCUUAUCAAAUGGUUGUUUAAACUUCUUAAUGAAGAGGGAUGUGGCAGCAGCUGUUACAAAACAAAUAUUUACACUCUACCACAUUGUCCCAGGCCAGUGUCAGGCCAACUGACUCUCAUUUCUGUAAAGGGCUCAUGAAAGUUAAGGAUGAAUUCUUUAAUCGUGGUAUGUUUGUCCUUAGCAACGGGACCGGAAUUCGUUUCUGGGAAGAUACCUGGUUGGGCGAUUCAUCGCUUGCCUUUCAAUAUCCAUCUCUUUAUAGGAUUGUGCAACGCAAGAACGUUUCUGUUGGCACAGUCUUUACGACGGUUCCUUUGAAUAUUAGUUUUAGGCAGAACUUAGCUGGAAACAGAUGGGGGCAAUGGUUACACUUGGUUCAGCGCUUUAUGUUGGUUCAUUUCACCGGGGACAAUGACAAAUUUAUCUGGAGUCUUGUCCCCUCUGGUAUUUUUUCUGUAAAGUCUAUGUACGCGGAUUUUAUGGAAGGGCAUACGGUUUUUCAUCGGAAAUACUUAUGGAAAUUAAAAAUACUGCUCAAGGUGAAGAUAUUCAUGUGGUUUCUUGACCUUAAGGUUAUUUUAACGAAAGAUAAUCUUGCAAGAGAAGUUGGGAAGCCACUACAACAAAACAUAGUUUAAGUAACACAAUCUUGUAACACAUAGAAAAUUAUGUUACAAACUAUUUUAUAGUAACACGUUAUAUGUGUUGCAUGGAUAGCCAGUAACACAUACUACAUUAGAUCCAAAAUGUGUUACAAGACCAUUGCAAUAGUAACAUUUAUGCUUGUGUUAGUUCAUAUGUAAUACAAACUUUAGUUACCAUAGUAACAUAAAAACAUGUUUGUCUAUACGUGUUACAAGUUGUAGCUGCACUAACACAUAAUUAUGUGUUAGUACAUAGUGUUACAAGCUAUAUAAGUCAGAUGCAAGUCAUUCACUACAAGAUCAUACACACACUAGAAAAGAGCCGCGCCACUCGCACGUACCAACAAACCGUGUAUAUUCGACCGAGGUUUAAAUUUGAAAUAAUUUUAGUGUAAAACAUUAAACGUCCAAUUCUAUGUGCGGUGCGCGUCAGGAUUCGAUCAUGCGGGCUCCCGAUCCCCUUCAUUCUAUCUGAACUCUAUUGCCAUCCCUUCUCUCAUUGUUGCUUCUGUACCAGAGGGUCAAAGAGACGGCGGCGGCGUAAAAGGGGCACACCAGUUGUAAUUCAAUUCCGACGCCCCGUUGUUUACGGAGCGUCAGAGAAUGUGUUGUCCACUUUUUUUACAUCUGGUACGCAAGAAAUGUCACAUGAUUUGAUUCCUUCUCUGACACUUCUUAGCUAAAAAAGUGCCAGAGCAGAACAUGUGACCCUCCACAGAAGCUAGGGGAAUUUUCACCAAUAUAUAUAGUUUUCACUAUCCCGCACGUCUUCCCUCCACUCCUUUGCAAUUUUUUUCAUAUCCCGCCCGAUAUUUUCCAGCGUCCAUCGAUCCCUUGCCCCCGCCGCCAUCUGCCUCGUUGUAAAUGCAAAAAAUGUGGUAGUUUGUGAAGCAAGUAUAAUUGUUAUGGUUCAAAAUAGACCCAAUCCAAUCUUUACACAAAGUAGACCAUAUUUAUGAGUUUUUAUACCAAUUUAGUUACAUAAAACACUUAUAUAUUGUAGUUAAAAUGAAAGUAAUAAAAUUUUAUAACGUAGCAGUGGCCGGUUUUAAUCAGAAUGCGCAAGUGAUGCUUAUUUGGCCCAAUUUGAGGCCCAGUCUCAUCCGCCGCAAGUGUGUGUGUGUAUACAUAUAUACUAAACAGGAACCUACCCUAAGAGUUCCUAUUUACCUUAAACAGGAACUAUUCCCAACUACCACCUCCUAUCACCGACGCGGGCGAGCGAGUGGCGGCGGAGGCCAACGCAAGGGAGCCCGCAGCGGCCGCCCGCGGCACCUCCUCCCGACGCCCCCCCGGCUACCACCUUCUUCCCCCAACACGGGCGAGCGAGCGGACCUUCUUCUCCGGCGCGGGCGAGCGAGCGGCGGCGGAGGCAAUCGGUAGUUCUACGAUAUAUUUUGAACCGCUUGUUGGCAUGAUGCAAAUUAUACGGCGUUGAAAAGUUAUGAACCAGGCGCAACUUUUUUGUUUAUAACUUUUUUGCUAAUUCUUAACAGUUUAAGAGCAGUUUCAAAUUACCGUCCGCCGGAUUACGACCAAACAAAAAACAGCGGACGGUAUUUCUACUAUAUAUUUUGAAGCACUUGUCGGAAUGAUGCAAAUGAUACGGCGUUGGAAAGCUAUGAACUAGGCGCAACUUUUUCGUGUAUAAAGGUUUUGCUAAUUCAUUACUGUUUAAGAGCAGAUUUCGAAUCAUCGUCCGCUGUUCGAAACCGUUGGGAAGUUCACAGGGUAUAAACGAGGAAGAUAUAAGCGGCGGAGGUUUAGAGACCACCGGGAAGUUCACAGUCUAUAAAACGGAAGUUCACUCGUGUAUCGAUGGAAGUUCAGAACGUUCACGCCCGUAAACCUCCUUGUUCUCUAACGCGAGCAAAAAUUACAGUCGGCGGAGUUUCAGAGACUGUCAGGAAGUUCACUGUUUAUAAAGCGGAAGUUCACUCAUGUGGUCGAUGGAAGUUCAGAACGUUCACGCCCGUAGACCACAGUUAUAGGCGUGGUUGUUGGAAAUAUGCCCUAGAAGCAAUCAUGUAUGAUGUAAUUCUC